This 165-nucleotide small nuclear RNA is filed under the name Tupaia belangeri (northern tree shrew). Its description in RNAcentral is "U1 spliceosomal RNA (ENSTBEG00000018708.1)". It matches the Rfam family "U1 spliceosomal RNA". Rfam says of the family: U1 is a small nuclear RNA (snRNA) component of the spliceosome (involved in pre-mRNA splicing). Its 5' end forms complementary base pairs with the 5' splice junction, thus defining the 5' donor site of an intron. There are significant differences in sequence and secondary structure between metazoan and yeast U1 snRNAs, the latter being much longer (568 nucleotides as compared to 164 nucleotides in human). The record is from RNAcentral. Lineage: Eukaryota; Metazoa; Chordata; Mammalia; Scandentia; Tupaiidae.
AUACUUACCUGGCAGGGGAGAUACCAUGAUCACGAAGGUGGUUUUCCCAGGGCGAGGCUUAUCCAUUGCACUCCAUAUGUGCUGACCCCUGUGAUUUCCCCAAAUGUGGGGAAACUCGACUGCAUAAUUUGUGGUAGUGGGGGACUGCGUUCGCGCUUUCCCCUG